Molecule: ribosomal RNA, 406 nt
Filed under: uncultured bacterium
Lineage: Bacteria
Description: partial 16S ribosomal RNA
Rfam family: Bacterial small subunit ribosomal RNA
Source: RNAcentral
AUUGAACGCUGGCGGCAGGCUUAACACAUGCAAGUCGCGCGAGCGGCGGACGGGUGAGUAAUGUCUGGGAAACUGCCUGAUGGAGGGGGAUAACUACUGGAAACGGUAGCUAAUACCGCAUACCCUCAGAUGUGCCCAGAUGGGAUUAGCUAGUAGGUGGGGUAAUGGCUCACCUGGGCGGCGAUACCUAGCUGGUCGGAGGGGGUGACGAGACACACUGGAGCGGUGACUCGGGCGAGAAUCCGACGGGAGGCAGCAGUGAGGAAGAUUGCACAAUGGGCGCAAGCCUGAUGCAGCCAUGCCGCGUGUAUGAAGAAGGCGUUCGGGUUGUAAAGUAAUUUCAACGGGGAGGCGUUACCCGCAGAAGAGGCGCCGGCUGACUCCGUGCCAGCAGCCGCGGUAAUAC